CACCGCAGUUGGUAUCCCUGCGCGUCAUGAUAAAAUAAUUUUACAUUUCGGUUGUUCGGUCGACAAAAUGUCGACUCGGUGUUACUUUCGGUGGAAAACAGUUGUACGAAAGCACAAUGACAGGAAAGCACAUGACUAAUCUUUUAGACUGCGUUAGCUAAUGACUUCUAGUAUUGAAGCAUUGAAUGAAAAAAGUUCGGGCUGGAGUCUUCAUCACUGAAACAAUGGAACAACGUUUCAACAACGAUGAUAGCCAUCGUAGCUAAAACAAUUUCCCGGAAAAUGUGCCUGUAACAAAUGCGCUGAUGCCGAAGCAAGGGCAAACGCCACAGAUAACAAAAUGCCGAGCAAAAGGUGGCUCACCAUCGACCAAUAUCUUAACACCGUGACAAAGCAGAGUGAACUGAAGUAGUUACAACUUGUAGUCAAAAACACAUGAUGUCAAUCCCAUCAAGGGUUUCAGUGUGCCCCAGACACUAUUGGAAAGUAUCGGCCUUUGACGAAACACUGGAAUAAUGAAGCUUGGUGGAAAUAAUCAAGACGAGUCGCAUUGACCAUUGCGUGCCGACCUAACAUCACUAGGGCGGCAGCUACUAAGUCCAACGGAUGCACGGUUGUCGAAUCUCGAGAAGGCCCAAGCCCGUGAGCCUAUGCACGUAGAAGAAAUAUGUAAUUGUGAAUUAUACUAUUGUAAAUAUAGAAAAAAGUGAUAAUUUCGAAGAAGGUCGUGACCAAUGCAUUCGCGCAUUUUUAGCAAUACAGCAUUAGAAAUUCACGAUUCGACAUCUUUUAUAUCUGUUAUAGAUGGAGGCUUGUUUGCUCGCAGAGAUCAGACGAAAAAUAUAAUUUAAACUU
Anopheles bellator is the source of this 855-nucleotide long non-coding RNA. RefSeq lists it as uncharacterized. The transcript has 3 exons. NCBI's taxonomy places the organism in Eukaryota, Metazoa, Arthropoda, Insecta, Diptera, Culicidae. The record is from RefSeq and is a predicted model, not a curated record.